UUUAAUGAAAUUUAUAAUAAAGUGCUACAUAAAUUAGCUGUAUUAAUGCUACACAAUUUGAAGUCAAGAUAACAAAACAAACUUUACAAAAAUGACUAAAAUUAUCAAUUGAAUACAUUCGACCCUGAGUACAUGUUUGGUCUUCCUGUGGAUCCUCUGAGAGAAGCACGGCCAUUGACUUCCAUGGCAUUUUGUUUCCAUACUAUGGAGGUCAAUGUCUACCAAUCACUCUUUGGUUCCCAGCAUUCUUCAAAAUAUCUCCUUUUGUGUUCCACAGAAAAAAACUCAUACAGGUUUGCAACAACAUGAGGUCAGAACAAAAAUGAAGGAUUCUCCAGAAGGAUGCCAUAUAUUUCCAACAUGUCUAAAUGAAGCGGUGAUGACGUAUGUGGGGAUGAUAACUCUUGCACAGUGGCAGUAUUCCCCUCUCUCUUUCGUCUUGUGUUUUGAUGACCACUCUCUCUUCCCACUGAAACAGACACAGAAGCAAAGAAACAGAACAUGAAUGACUUUGAACUCAAUCACAAAAACCAUUUUCAAUACUCGACACUAACUGUAUUUACUGUUAAAAACUACAUAACAGUAACUUGUUGCAUCUUACACCCACCUGUGACUUUGGGUUCUCUCUUCUCUAUUUCUGCUUUCUCAAGUGCCCAGUCUUCACUCACUGAAGGCAAUUACAAGACAUUGAGAAUUUUUAUUUAGCAUGUCAUUCUCUUGCAAAUUUACAUAUAAAACCAUACAGUAAUUCCCAUUCCAUUGCUGUUACAGUAAAACAAUCAAGAAUCUCA
Long non-coding RNA from Carassius auratus (goldfish), 791 nucleotides. RefSeq lists it as uncharacterized. The record is from RefSeq and is a predicted model, not a curated record. The transcript is spliced from 3 exons. Lineage: Eukaryota; Metazoa; Chordata; Actinopteri; Cypriniformes; Cyprinidae.